Small nucleolar RNA from Myxocyprinus asiaticus (Chinese sucker), 143 nucleotides. RefSeq annotates it as small nucleolar RNA SNORA79. Lineage: Eukaryota; Metazoa; Chordata; Actinopteri; Cypriniformes; Catostomidae. The transcript has a single exon. The record is from RefSeq and is a predicted model, not a curated record.
UGAUGACAAUCCACCUGCUACAUUGAGCUUUUGUGUGCCAGGCUUUUAGGUCAUCAUAGAGCAAAAUGAGUCUCGUUUUACCAGUGUGUAUUAUGCAGGUGGUCUGCUACUGUUCAUACUGGACACUAAAAGACUCCACAGUU